Xenopus tropicalis (tropical clawed frog) is the source of this 942-nucleotide long non-coding RNA. RefSeq lists it as uncharacterized. The record is from RefSeq and is a predicted model, not a curated record. NCBI's taxonomy places the organism in Eukaryota, Metazoa, Chordata, Amphibia, Anura, Pipidae. The transcript is spliced from 2 exons.
AAAAACAUUAUUUAGAAAACCUCAUGUCCUGAGGAUUCUGAAUAACAGGUUCCAUACCUCUGGUAAUUAUUAAAUAACAUCUGCCCUAUGUUUUUUUUGACAAGCGAAAGAAUAACUUAUAGCUUUAAGGGCUAGAUUUUCAGACUACUUAAGCUCUAAAAAUACAGCGAUUUUGGAAAAACAAAGUGAAGUUCCAGGACACUGGAUAAGGUAGAAUUUUCCAAGGGGGUGUCAUCUCUCACAAUUGACUAGGCAUCUGCAGCUUCUUACUUAUCACCCAAAUAACUGAACAUGAUGUGAGCUCUUCCACAUAUAGCUGCAACUGAAAUGGUUCAACCCAACAGAAAAUUCACCUUGUGCUGCAGCAAAGUCAAUUAACAGAAAAGUACCACAAACGGUUGAAGUCAAGCUCAGCUUUGGAAAAGAUACCAAUAUAAACAGGGUUCUCAUCAAGUAAACCUAAUGUCCUUCAUUUUAAAGGCUGGUCCUGUCUGAAGUAGGGCAUUGGAAGCAAGUUACCACAAUUUUUGGCUCUGAGACUUGUACGUUAGACUUAAACAGUGAUUGUUUAUUCCUUUAGUCAUGGAACACACCUGGGCAAUAGUGCUUCUGUAUAUUUUAAUUGUAAAUGCUUUUUGUGAAGACAGAGGUAAUGAACAUGAUGAGAUACAAACUGCGGAAAGAAAGUGCUCUUGUCCAAAUAUUGACAGCAUGACACAAUGUAAUUGGCCAGUGAUCUGUGUACUGAUUGUUACUGGGUUUGCUGUUGGAAGUUAUUUGACUGCAUUGAUUUUUAUACAGAGGCAACAGAAAUUAGGUCAGCGUUUACCCUCUAAUGUGCAAAAAAUACAAUUUAUUUACAGCUCUGAUGAUGACAGCAGUUAACUCAUUAACUUUAUACCCUAAUGUAUGCUAAAAUAAAUGUGUUUUAUUGGAAACAAA